GCGCCCGUAGCUCAGUGGAUAGAGUGUGGGUUUGCGGAACCCAAGGUCGCAGGUUCGAAUCCUGCCGGGCGCGCCA
This 76-nucleotide transfer RNA is filed under the name Candidatus Doudnaibacteriota bacterium. Its description in RNAcentral is "Candidatus Doudnabacteria bacterium tRNA-Arg". It matches the Rfam family "tRNA". Rfam says of the family: Transfer RNA (tRNA) molecules are approximately 80 nucleotides in length. Lineage: Bacteria; Candidatus Doudnaibacteriota. The record is from RNAcentral.